AAUCAACGCUGGCGGCGUGCCUCAGACAUGCAAGUCGAACGCGAAAGUUUCCUUCGGGAGAUGAGUAGAGUGGCGCACGGGUGAGUAACACGUGAGUAAUUUACCUUCGGGUGGGGAAUACUAACCGGAAACGGUUGUUAAUACCGCAUAAUGCAGCGGCAUCAAUGAUGACAGUUGUUAAAGCGGGGGAUUGGAGCAAUCCGACCUCGCGCCUGAAGAGAAGCUCGCGGCAGAUUAGCUAGUUGGUAAGGUAAUGGCUUACCAAGGCGACGAUCUGUAACCGGCCUGAGAGGGCGGUCGGUCACACUGACACUGAAUAACGGUCAGACUCCUACGGGAGGCAGCAGUCGGGAAUUUUGGGCAAUGGGCGCAAGCCUGACCCAGCAACGCCGCGUGAAGGAUGAAGC
RNAcentral lists this ribosomal RNA (407 nucleotides) under uncultured bacterium. Its description in RNAcentral is "bacterial SSU rRNA". It matches the Rfam family "Bacterial small subunit ribosomal RNA", at positions 32 to 414 of the family's 1533-position model. The record is from RNAcentral.